Molecule: long non-coding RNA, 2349 nt
Organism: Oncorhynchus keta (chum salmon)
Lineage: Eukaryota; Metazoa; Chordata; Actinopteri; Salmoniformes; Salmonidae
Exons: 2
Source: RefSeq, a predicted model, not a curated record
GCAGGCCACACAAGCCGCCGGCAAACUGUGUCACCCUCUUGGCAGUGACCUGCUGGGGCAAGCGAUAAGCUGAGAGAGCCGUGAGAGUCGACAUCGACAUAUCCAUCACGACCAUAAGGACAGCUGACUCUUCACAGUCCCGCACGCAUGAUGAGCCCCCCCUACCACAGCUUACCCUCCCAGCGGGCACCAGCCUGCCCAGCAGCCCCAGACGCUGGUACGCUGCCAGGCCCACACACUGACAACCAUAGAGAAGCAGAGACAGAGGGAGGACAGUUGAUCAGACAUUUGGGACACAUCUCCCACCACGGGCCUGCUGCCAGCUGCAUGCAACCAGUAUGGAGCAGGCUGCUUGCCACAUUGGAACAUGAUUAUCUUUCAUUUGGUCUGCUUUUGUGUGGAGUACAAUGGCCACCAUAAAAGGGGGCAGAGCCACCUGUAGAGUUAAUGAGAUGGUCACGCUUGGAGCAUUUGGGCUGGACAGGAGGGGGGAUUUACGAUGGUUGUGUUCUGAAGUGCUCACCUUGUUUGUUUGUUUUUUCAAGUCACAGACAAGAGUUCACACACACACGGUGUUUACAUGAAAUAAGUGUCUACAGUUUUGAGUUUUCAAUUAGCAUGUGUGUGCUUAUGUUUCUUUCUUUGUAUGUGUAGUGUGCCGGGUCAUCCCAGCAAGGCUACUCCAGAGGACCUGUUCUACCUCCUGUCGCGAAGGGUUGUCCAUAACAACCAACCAGGUUUUUAUUUGUCCGUCCAUCCUUCUGUUCUCUCUUUCUACUCUCUCUGGCUCUCUCUCUCCCAGUCUCCUCUCCACGAAUGCGGUUUUCAUUUAUUAGGCUCACCUUUUGCUCCUUUUAAUGAAGUUAAAUAUUUACAGUGUUGAAAGUCCAGCAACAGAAUGCUUGGAGGGUGCUGCCUCACUGAAAGGUUGACGACCCCCAGUGGAAAAAUUUGCGAUGAAAGGUCAUGAUACCGUAGCAGUGGGAGCUGUCAGGAAACGUAAACAACAACUCGCCUGGCUCAGUGUGUUGUCUGUCUUUUUAUGGUCAAUGGGUUGUCUGGCGUGUUGUUGGAGUGCCUGGGGAGCCAGUGGGAGCUGCACUGCCCUCAUCUCACCGAGUCAGGCACCCUGAGUCACCUCUACAUGUCAGCCAGGCAGAAGAGGGCAAGGAGCCUUCAGGACAGUGCAGGUGUGGCACUUAAAUGCCUGCCCCCCAGCACAACUGUAAGUCAUUUCUCAGGUUUCACACACAAUGCACAUUUUUGCAAAACAGUAAACACAACACUCUACAAAAGGUGCGAAGUUCAGUUGAGUAAAUCACAAAAAAAAAAAUCGACAUUAAAAAAUUGUCACAGCUGAUACAAAUUACUCCCAUGAAUGUGAACCUCUUCCGCACGUGUGCUAUACUUCUUUGCACAAUUGUUCAAUCAGCAAUCAGUCCUUAUUCAUGCAUAAAAAGAGGUCACCUCUGAGAUUGCCGUUUGCAAGAAUGGACCAAGUAAGAGGCAGAGGGAAAGGAGAGGGAGAGAGGGGCCCGUAGAGGAAGAUUGUCAAUAGUUCAGCUCUGUUGCAAAGGUCAACUAAAGCCUUUUGUUGACAGAUAUUCAUGCUCUUGAGUGACAUUCCUUCUGCAUUGGUCAUCUUUGGUCAAAUAAUUUUAGGUAAAAAUAAUACAGCUCAUGCUGUGAUAUGUUUACUUGCCCUUUUAUGGUGCAUAAUUAUAGUAUCAACAAAAUGCCACAGACGUUGCUCGGGUAUAUUGAUAGCUGUAGCUAGUAUUUAUUGGGACAUUGUGUACCGAUUGAUUGAAAUAGCUUUUCAUUAGAUAACAAGAUGUAUAUUCUGGUGGAGGUAGUUGAUUUUGUGUGAUGUUUUUAAUGUUGAGAGUUUUAAUGCAUUUUGCAAAUUAAAUGUGUCAUUUUGACCAUUGUGUUUCAGUUCAGGGCUGCGCAUUACUUGUUUUGAAAAAGUUGAUUCUGUUUGGACAAAUCAAGCAAUCGAGGAAAAAAAACUAUCUGCGCUGGAGCGUUGGAGAUAACAGUAUUAGAGUCCGAAUGUCUCUGCAUCCUAUCAUUGGGCCUAUCUGGUGUGGGAGACAGACAUGGCCCGAGUCACAGGAGUUAGUGCCAAAUACUUAUCCUCUGAUAACAUUUGGAGGAAAUGUGUGUUAUAGUGACAAUCCGGAAUUCAUUUUCUAUGAGGAUAGACAAUUGUCAGUCCCUUCUGCAAGGACAGAGGUGAUUAGGUUAUUGGCUUUGUUCUCCUCCAGUAUAUUGGUUUCAUUUUCUCAUUCAGUAAAUCCAACCAAUAAGUGUUGUCUUGUUAAAUAUAUAAAGGGUUAUUUUUCA